UACUGUUGUCUGACAUAGACUUGUAUCCUGCCGCGGCCUUAUCUGUAGAUCAAGGAAACAGAGCACUUCUCCAUACGCGUUGAGAGAGAUAGAGAGAGCUUAAACUAAUCUCUCAACUCCAAAUCCUCAUCUGGGUCCUUCUCUUUUACCCUGUACUUCAAAUCCUUCGUUGAUAUUUUCUUCUUAUCAUCUGCCACUUUCCUCACUUCCACAAAGUUUUAUUCACUACUCUGUUUUGCUGGCAGAGCUUGUUGGAUAGGGGUUGGGAGCUUUCUUGUUUCUUCUUUGUUUUAAUAAUUCCCAUUUUUUUAUUUCUUAUUCUGUUGGUGACUGACUCUAAAACAUGUGGGGUUUUAUUCUUUGCCUCCUAAACAAAGGCAAAUGUUGAUCUUUCUGGAUCUGCAGGCGUGAUUUUGGGGUACAAUACGGGGCAUAUCUAUUUAAAGUUUUUAUCCCCCUUUCCCAUUGCUUUAAAUUGACUGAGCCUUGUAGUUUACUUCAAAUUCUAAACACUUUGUACAGAAGGCGUUUUCUUUGGUUUUUCAAGUCAAUAGAUGGUACUUCAUUAGCUGAUAAUACAGUGUUGAGUCCGAAAUGGGAUCUAAUAAUGCGUUUUAUUCUGGUGAAUUCAAUUUGGAUGAUAAGUGGCUGGUUGAUCCUAAGCUUCUUUUUGUUGGACCAAAGAUUGGAGAAGGUGCUCAUGCCAAAGUUUAUGAGGGAAAGUAUAAGAAUCAAAAUGUUGCUAUUAAAGUUGUUCAUAGAGGAGAAACCCCAGAAGAGAUUGCCAAGAGAGAAGCAAGGUUUGCGAGAGAGGUUGCAAUGUUAUCUAGAGUUCAACACAAAAAUCUAGUCAAGGUUAUUUUACUAACUUAUAAGCAACAACUUUUCAAUUACAAAAAUUUGUAAUGCCCUUUCGUUGUACUUGAUAUUGGGCAUUUUUUAUUUUAAUGAUUUGAAUCCUACAUCUUAGCUAAUGAUUGUUGAAGUUAUCAUAUACACAAUAAUAGUGUUGCUUUUUGUUACCAGUUUAUUGGGGCUUGCAAGGAACCUGUAAUGGUGAUAGUAACCGAGCUUCUUUUAGGUGGGACAUUGCGUAAAUACCUGUUGAACUUGCGACCAAGAUGCUUGGAGAUGCAUGUAGCAAUUGGGUUUGCACUUGACAUUGCUCGUGCAAUGGAAUGCAUACACGCACACGGAAUCAUUCAUCGUGACCUUAAACCUGGUAUGAUAAAAUUACAUUUUGUAUGGUUGUUGGACUUCAAGCAUAGUAAGUUGAAUAAAUAGCAUUGGUUAGAGGUUUGUGGACCAACUUAACAGUCCAACUACAAUUGGAUGGACAUUGGCUUUAUUUAGACUUGAAGUCCCUAGGUUUUGUACCUUUGCUUCUAAUAAUGUUGGACUGACUUGAUGAAUAGAAGAAUUGGUAUCGCCUCAGCAGAGGCUUUUAGACACGGUAUCCUAUCAUUUGUCCUUUUAUAAAUUGUGCAUAAAUGCAUGUGUCUUGUAUACAAUUUAACUUUUAUGAUGUUCUAGUUUCAUGUAUUAUUUUGUGUCUCAACAUCUUUGAUCCAAAAUCUUUUCAAUGGUGAGGAACAUGCUGCUACAAUAAUUUUUAAUAACUUUUUCUCAUGGCAAUGUUAAACAUUUUUGCAUGCUUUUGCAUGCAGAAGAGAACAAACCAACCUUCUCAAAGUCUAAUUUUUUACUGUUGCUAAUAUACACCAUUUAUAAGAUCUCUUCAUGUAAACAAUCCUCAAAUCUCCAUUCAACAAGAAUUCCAAGAUUCAGGCUUUAAGUAUCCCUGUGAACUUGAAAGCUCAAAUUAUCACAAUUUUGAAUGAAACCUGUAAAUUUUGUUCUGGCUGUCUAUUUCUAAGUUGUUUCUUCUAUGACCAUUUCCCUUUCCUGUGCACAAGUAAAAUUUGAUAUUUGCUUUAUUUUUGACUGUUCAUCAAUGACAUUAGGGAAAGUAUGCUCCUUCAUAUUAUGUACAUAAUUUUGUGCUACUGCAUGAAAAAUCUGUUAGACAAAUUUAAUCGUGUACCUUAUGCUUACAUGUCAAUUUCACUCCUGCUGGAUAGAGUUGGUGAUGUUUGGUGGGGGAAGUCGUUGAUAUUGCAUAAUAGGUCUUAUACUGUGUUAUUGCAACUUUAGUUGUUUGAUUAGCUUUGGAAGGCACUCGGGAAUUAGACAUUGUGGAAAUUUUCCAAUGUGUAGUGGAAUUAGGCAGAAGCAUCCAAUGGAUUUCUUUGCAUCCUUCUAGUUCUUAUUUGGCUGUUUCUGGAAAUCUUUCUUAAGAUAUCGUGUGAAAACUUCAUAAGGCUUCUUAUUGCUGUGAUGAAAUGAAUGGGUAACCUUAGGAAACAUUCAGCCAAAGAGAAAAGGUAAUAAUAAUGAGAGCUCAAUGCCCACAUACUGACACUGGUUUUAAGCUGAUAUUGACCGUCUGAAAUUAGAUAUUUUUGUAUGCAUCCUAAACCAGGUGGAUGGAGGAAUAGGAUCCAUAUAGCGACCUCAACUAAUUCGGAGUUAAGUUUGUUUGAGGUUGAAGAUUGACUGCUAAAAAUUCAAUUUUGCAUGUUCUCUUCACGUCAUUUAUGAUAUGAAUCAUAUUGGAUUGGUAUAUAUAAUCAUGAAGGAUUCUCAUAUUACAAAUGACUAUAACUUGUGUGAAGAUUUCUUUUUCUAGGCAAUGGGGAUAUGAUUUUGGGAGAUUUGGAUACUUGAUAUGAAGAUUCUAAAUCAAAUUUUGGCUUAAGAACUUUUAGGCUGUAGGAAAGUGAUACUGAGGAAAACAUGUGUAGCUACUUUUUGUUGGAUUAAGCAGUAGGCAUGACUCCUUACGAAUUUGUUUCCUGUCCCUUUUGCA
This 2869-nucleotide unclassified non-coding RNA is filed under the name Hevea brasiliensis (rubber tree). Lineage: Eukaryota; Viridiplantae; Streptophyta; Magnoliopsida; Malpighiales; Euphorbiaceae. The record is from RNAcentral.